This is a long non-coding RNA of Venturia canescens, 688 nucleotides long. RefSeq lists it as uncharacterized. NCBI's taxonomy places the organism in Eukaryota, Metazoa, Arthropoda, Insecta, Hymenoptera, Ichneumonidae. The transcript is spliced from 2 exons. The record is from RefSeq and is a predicted model, not a curated record.
CGCUCGAGUAAGACGGGCUGGGCCGAUGGGCCACGUUAUUUUAUACAAGAUUUUAGUUUUCAAUAACGUUCUUCAAUUACAUUUCCUGGCACCGAUUUGGUCUCUUUCUAUAUUUCCAGCUGCAACGUGCUUCAGCAGUUAGUACACUUGGUGGCGGAUGAUGCAGCCCUACUGAUCAGGUUCUUGUGAGCAGCUGUUGAAAUAACGAAAAAAAAAUCAUUAGCACAUAAUUAAUUUCACAUUUUUUUUUCCUGGAUGUGAAAUGGUUACUUUCAAAGGGAUCGAUUCCAUCAAUUAUGAGAAAAAAUGUCAAAAUUGAAACUUAAACUUGAUAAUCCUUCCAAUGAAGAUCAGUUUGCCUCGAACAAUUGUGAUGAAUAAUCUGAGCAAUUACAGUUAAAACUCAAAAUAGCACAAAGCCUACAACGUAGUUGAACUUUUACAAAUACGUGAAAAAUAAUAAUGAACAAGUCUUCAUGAUAAUAAAGCAAACUACACAGUUACUUCUUCAAAACAACGAAUUUGGAAUUUGCUCCAGGUGUGAUAAACUUACUUCUGUAAGCAGAACAUUUUUGAAAAUGAAAAACGAAAAAUAAUUAUUCUUUUUUUUUCAUUCAAAUCGACGUUGAAAACAAUACAUUAGUUUGUUGUAAGCGGAAACAAUAGAUGCAAUUAGUUCAAGAGUUUA